UUAAUCAUUUCAUGAAUUAUUUUUUAAUGGAGGGAAAUAACUUACAUUAUGUCUUUGCUGGUAAUAGUUCUUUUAAACCCUUAUUUAAUAAAACACUUACCAUCUCUACAUCACAGUUUAUAUUCCUGGGGACACCUUCUUACAAAGACCAUAGACUGAAGAAAGGAAAAGAAAUUCAAUGGGUUGAACACAUUUGCUUGAGACUAAAGAUCACCAGCACUUUACAUCAGUGGAGUGACCAGCAAAAGCUGUAAUGGCCUUCCUCCAGUGAAUUCUGGAAAUUAUUGUUGAUCAAGCUGCAACUCCAGUUGUUGCUCUCUGGCAGAAGAGAUUUGUACUGUCAAUGUGGGCUUCAAGUUUCUAAGGGCUCCUGGGCAAGGUGAAGUGACCAGAACUAAACACAAUGUUCUAAGUACAGUUGUACCACAAGGUUUUCCAGAUGACAUUCAGUCACAUUGCCUCCUCUUGCAUCAUGCAGUCCCAAAACCAUAUGCUUUCAUCCAGAAAAAGUGAUCCCGUUUUCUCUGCAUGGGAACAGCUGAUAUUUCAGAAGAGGCUGCAGCAGUGUUCUGAAAGCCUUCCUCCUGGUCACUGAAUUGCUGCUUCUUUAGAAGAUCUACUGAGUUGGAAUUUUCUUGAAAACAAUAUUGGUUGUCUGUUCUAAUGAAGGAGAGACUUAGGUGGUCUAAGUCAGCCUUCCUCAACCUGGUGCCUUCCGGAUGAUUUGGAUACCAACUGCCAUCAGCCCCAAUCAGACCAACAGUCUGGAAUAUUACAAGGUGGUGUAUAAAGAACUGCUGUGGCUGCCUUUCACAAGAGAUGAGGAAAAAGGGCAUGCCAGGAGAAGAUGCUGGGCUGACAACCUAUGCCAUAACCAGGUGACUUCAGUGGGAGCACAGAGAAUAUGAUUUCAAGCACUUACUGUCAACUAAGUGUACUUACAAGUAGAUGCUGAAGCAACCACUGAAAAUUGUACCAUUGAUUUGUACCUCUUACAAACCUCUCCUUAAAACUCACCUUUUCCAUGAAGACUUUUCACAGUCUCCUAGUUCCUGUUCUACUGCAGCCUUCCCCAGCCUAGUGUCCUCCAAAUGUUUUGGACUGCAGCUUCUAGCAUCCCUGAGCAUUGAUCAUGCUGGCUGAAGCUGAUAGGAGAUGACACCCAAUGUGGAAUGCCCCAGACUGAAGAAGGCAGAAUAGUAAGCCUAAAAAUACCCUGCAUUAUGGAUAAUGAGACAGAAGGAACAAAAUAAUUCAGAACAAGGAUUUAUGGUACAUGCAUAACUUGCACUUUAGAAGACAGAAUCAUCUGAGAAAUAGCAAAGUAGUAUUCAAAUAGGCAUAUAUACAAUAUGACUCCAGCACAUAUCAAGCAUUACCCAUUGGCAACAGCAAGGAAAGUUUCAAAACAUCAGCAAAUAUUGCCUCUGUAUGGGAACUGUCCAAAUGAAAGAAGCAUCUGAUCAUCACAGCCUUUAUCAGAAGUUUGAAGUGGUACACCCCUGGAUACAAGUUUAUCACCUCAAUGAGAAUCAAACCUUUGUGAAGUAGAAUUUAAGACAGAACAAAAAUAGUAUCACAGAAUAUGUUUUAUACUUAUUAGCUUUUUCUCCUACAAUUACCUUUUCAUGGAAUGUAACUGGAAGAAAUCAUAUUUCUGAAGAUUCUACCCAGCCUGAAUUCAGAAUGUUGGGGUGAAAAAUCAGAUAUUAUUGCCUUGAGGUGCUACUUUUAUCUAAAAUAAAAGCUACAUACCUUUUCCUACCCAUGGGAUUGUGAGCACCAGAAGGUAUGCCUUACACACAUCACCACAGGAAAAUAAACUGUUUCCCUCUUUGGAUGUUACACCAGAACUGCAAAAAGAGGAUGCAGGAGCUAUUUGCACUUCUGCUCUCCCUGCAAAAUGUUAAUGUUGUAAGCCACUCACCAUUAUUAUUCCAUAAAAGUCUACACAAUCAAGCUCAUUUAGUGGCAAGGUUUUGCCAGAUGUAAUCUCUACUUAUCAGAAAAUGUUCAAGUCCUCUUGUAGGAAGUUUAACAACUUCCAGGAAGAGGAAAACAUACAGAAUGGUAUCCAUUUGAUAUGAGAGGUUUUUUAAUAAUUCAAGAACUGAAAGCAGCACAGAUUUUAUUUACUUUCUUCAUUGCAACAGAAGUGCUGCAUAUCGUCGUAUAUUUCAGUAUAAACAAUGUGUCAUCAUAAAUUAAAGAACCCUGAAUGCAUUUUUAGAAUAAACUUGGGAUGGGAAUUUACCCUCCAGAUAUUUUGGACUACUACUUCCAUAAGCACCAGCAAGCAUGGCUAGUGGACAGGGGUUGUGAGAAUUGCAGUGCAAAGCAUCUGGAGGGCAGUGAUUUGCCUUCUGCUGGUCUAAAUCAAACAUUUCUUUUGAUGAGCUUAUGAAACUUGCAUUCAUUUUAUUAGAUGGCAUUUUAUUAUAGUACCUUUGGCACAAUAGUGUACUGAUUUUUAUUUCAUAAAGCUUAUGUUUGAAUGCAUUAAAGAGACUUUCCAAUAUCUCAUCCUAUCUCAAGAAAUAGUAAUAUUAUUUCUUGAUUGAGAUUUAGCCAUAUAAACAAAUGGACUUAUAUUGAAAACAAGUCAAACAUAAAAUCAACUUUCACCUGGAAUAUGAAGAAAGGGAAGUGGUUAUAUAAACUGCACAAUGCAGAAAACUUCCCCUCCCUUUCAUCACUGUAAACUCAGAUAUAAACUUUGCCUGAAGCUGCAAAAAGGCAGGGUUUCAGAAUUUGAGAGAAAAAACACAUUAAAAGUAAACUUUCUGCUAUAGAUAUGGUCAUUAUAAAUUACCAUAGGACUGAACUUCUGAAACCCAUUACUUGUUUGACAGCAGCUGUGUGGCUAACUUGCCUAGUUAAUUCUGAAUGGUUCAUUCUGCAUGAUCUGUCAUGCAUACAUGGCAAACAACAAUUAUGAACAACCCUUAAUAAUAACACAGUUCUACUUACAGAAAGUUAAGACACUUACAAUGUAGAAAGGAAAAAUGAAGAACUUUUUUAAGAGCUUGGAAAAAAGUUAAGAAAAUGUAUAUUACAGCCAAAGGUGGAACAGAGGUCUAUCACUUUGCACUUCCAAAACCACCUUCUUUGCUCCUUCAUAAAAUAAAAUUAGAAGACUUGAAGUUUAUCAUAAGACAGUGGGUCAUGCCCACUUUGCACAUCCUAGCUGCAUUUGAGCUCUCUGUGUGUGUACACACGCACACCCAUGUACGUGCCAUCCUCAGGAAACCCAAGUUACAGCAGAUAGACAUGUAUUUGCUGUACAGUUGUGUCUGUCUGACACAUUAUCUUCAUGUGUUAUGCAGCUAGAACUCAUAAAAGUAAAAUAUGAAAUUCACCGAAAGGAUUUCUAAAAACCUCACCUCCUCAUUUUCACUUUUAGAAAUGUUUCUAACCUCCUAUUUUCCAAUUCAUCUGGAGAACUGCAUUUAAAAUGUAAUUGUGAAUCUGAAGACUUCAACUAUAUGCUGCAAGCCAAAUGAAAGUAAAGUUGGAACCUUAUAUACUCAUCAGAUCAUAUAUUGGUAAAAAACUGGCUUUGUCAAACUAACAAAUGAAUAUUUUGCCCUUCUACCCCAUAUUUAGGAUACCUACAGGAGACAGGAGCAACAUUCCUGAAGAGCAUGUGGCCCUGGUAGUUGACUGUGCCUAUCCAUGGAGGUUUGCCCUAAUGCACCAGCACAAUGGUUUUGAAUAAGAAACUUUAAAAAGAACACCAAAGUCUUCAGCUGAGGACAACAGUUUCAAGCGACUAUCUUAUUUACACUAACUAGCAUGUACAUCUCAAUAAACAUGAUGGGACAUCUUUCAAAUAAAAUACAUGGCAUCAUGUUUCAAUACCACCUGUAGACAGAACUUGAGCACAUUGUGGAAUGUUCAAAGAUCAGUCAAGUCAUCUGUGCAACAAGAACAGAGUAGCAUCUUUGAUAGUUGCUCCAGGACUUCAUGUUUUUCUCUCUUAGGAGGCCUGUUAAAUUCUACUGUCCAUCUGCCAGAAACAUGUUUUGGUUGCUUUGUCAUUUACUGCGGACUCUUAAGAGACUGCCACUCAGUAUAUAAUGGUUAUCAAGACUGGAGCCUGCUGUAUAUCCUAUACCCUACUAAAUAAAGCACCUUUAAGAA
Molecule: long non-coding RNA, 4143 nt
Organism: Varanus komodoensis (Komodo dragon)
Lineage: Eukaryota; Metazoa; Chordata; Lepidosauria; Squamata; Varanidae
Exons: 11
Source: RefSeq, a predicted model, not a curated record